This 419-nucleotide ribosomal RNA is filed under the name bacterium. RNAcentral describes it as "partial 16S ribosomal RNA". It matches the Rfam family "Bacterial small subunit ribosomal RNA", at positions 355 to 776 of the family's 1533-position model. The record is from RNAcentral.
UGGGGGAUAUUGCACACUGGGCGAAAGCCUGAUGCAGCGACGCCGCGUGGGGGAUGAAGGCCUUCGGGUUGUAAACUUCUUUUGCUCUGAACAAGGCGCACCAUGGGGUGUGUUGAGUGUAGGGGUUGAUUAGCGCCGGCUAACUACGUGCCAGCAGCCGCGGUAAUACGUAGGGCGCGAGCGUUGUCCGGAAUUAUUGGGCGUAAAGGGCUUGUAGGUGGCUGGUUGCGUCUGUCGUGAAAGCUCAUGGCUUAACUGUGGGUUUGCGGUGGGUACGGGCUGGCUUGAGUGCAGUAGGGGAGGCUGGAAUUCCUGGUGUAGCGGUGGAAUGCGCAGAUAUCAGGAGGAAUACCGGUGGCGAAGGCGGGUCUCUGGGCUGUUACUGACACUGAGGAGCGAAAGCAUGGGGAGCGAACAGG